Molecule: long non-coding RNA, 3332 nt
Filed under: Musa acuminata (dwarf banana)
Lineage: Eukaryota; Viridiplantae; Streptophyta; Magnoliopsida; Zingiberales; Musaceae
Description: long non-coding RNA (MACU_LNC002331)
Source: RNAcentral
UGAUGGCGCGCUGUUUCUACUUCGCCCUUCUCAUCCUCUCGUCUCCCGUAGCGGAGAUGGUUUAGGGUUUCGGUUUGGAGAUGGCGCUGAGCAGCUUCAUCGUGACGGUGGUGGGCGUCGGCGCCACCAUCCUCCUCCCCGGGGACGUCAAGCGGUCCGCGGCCAUUCUCCGCCACGCCUGACACUGGCUCGAAGAAGAGUCCGCCUCUGCCUCCAAGUACGCUCACCAAACCGUCCUCCUUUCUCGAUGAAGUAUCCUAUGCUCUCCAUAAUGUUACUGUUUCUCCUAAACUUUAACUUCUGCGGAAUCACAGAUUUAUAAUGUUAUGGAAGUCGUAAGUGGAUUUGAUGCCUAUUCUGUACAUUCUUGAUGUGCAGGAUCUGCAAUUGGUGAUGUUGGCUUAUUUUAUGCCCAAAUAAUUCAGGUUCUUCUGUUGAUCACUGUUUAGGGAUUUUGUGCUGCGACUUCAGUUUGUGACAACUUCUAUAGUGACCUGAUUAUUACUUUAGUUACACAUGAGAUAAGAUUCUCUGAGAAAAAAAAAAAAGGGUGCAAAUGAUGGAACGGAAUUUAAAUUGUUGGCACACAUCAUGUUUGAUGAGAUCAUUAUCCAGUUUUCCAGGUUGUCAACAAGUCUGUUGAAGCUAAAAGAAGUUAUAGUACCAUAACUCUGUGUUACCCGUAGUUGUUCAUGCCCUAGCAGUGAUUAAUAUUUUUGAAUUGCCGUAUGAAGAUGGACAGUUGGAAAACAAAAUGAGUAAAAAAUUGUAGAAAAGCAAAAAGAGAUGGAUGCCAUAUGAAAGAUGCCUUUUUCUUAAUUGGGGAAUGCUGUUCCCUUGGAAUGCUCCUAAAUAUGUAACAUAUGCUAGGCUAUCUACAUUCCUGUAGUUCUUAUUGUUUUCGUGCAAAAUUGCUGCAAACAGGAAGUAGUAUUGUGCAUGGCCACCUCGGUAUUUUCUUAACUAUUUACCUGACUGAUACUGGUUGUUAGUCACGUAUGAUUCACACGAUUUAUGUUUGACUAUAUUCCUUGUCAGAUUUAGCAUUGUUUGUGUAGUUUCUAAUUUUUGACUUUUUAAGGGAAUGCUGCUAACCUCGCUACUUCUGCAUGGUUAUGUCCUGCAUUUAUAAGCCUAUCGUCUACAAGUUUUUGGAAUGGGAAUUUUUAGAAUUUGGACAUCAAUAUGUAUUUUUUUUAAUAAAGAUCAAGAGAUAGAUAUCACGUUUGAGUCCAUGUAUAAGCGUCAUGCACGCCAGUACAAUGUUGCACAAGUGAUAGGUCUCAGUUUCAAGUUCACGUAUGAGCGUCAUGUACGCCGAAUAGAAGUUUCUUUUAUUUUAUGUAGUAUUUGAAGCCCUUCGACAAGUUUGUGUGCGUGUAUCAUAAUUAGAACUUGACCUACUGAAUAUCUGAGCAGGACCUGAAGGAAGCUGGAUCAAACGGACACCUACCUGAAUAUGAACCAAUCUCAGCCAUGAUAGGCAUCUUUUCAUUGAGUAAAUGCUCGAACUUUAUCAAACAAGCUUAAGACUAGUAAAGAUUUUAAAACUUUGUAACGUACUAGUGUUAUUAAUGAAAUUAGAAUCUUUUCUUAUGCUGUGGAAUUUUCUCUGUUGCCAAGUUACUUAGCUGUUAGUCUCAUUUUAGCAUUUCUUAUGCUGUGCAAUUUUAAUAUUCCCACAUUCAUUUGGUAGUUAAUGGCUAUUCAGGUCUAGCCUUUGUUGCCUCAGUGACAUGCAGAUUGUUUCAAGUUGUGUGGUAGAGACUGCAGGCCUUACAUUAUUAAUUGCUUUUUCAUCCUAGAGCUAUCCAGACACAUAGGUACUUUUAGUGUAGCCUAAGUAUGAUUUGCAAAUUUGGUGAUGUUGGUUCUAUCUUACGGAUAGCAGUUCUAGGCCUUGCCAAUGUUGGUAAGCAUAGUUGGAGAAAUCAUGUUUCUCCAUUUACUGUUUGCAGCAAUAUGUGAUUGCUCAAAAACUAUAUAAAUAUGAAGUGUGCACUUAGCUUCACUAUUGCAGGGGAGAAUUCUUGCAGGGUUUAGUCUCAUAUGAUAUCUUCUGAAAAUGAAAAGAAGAAAAAAAAACACGUGCAUUUAGUGUCUAUGACACUGGUUGCACAAGGACUGGUUUGAAGCAGAUCAUGUUUUUGAUGUUUGCCAUGCAUAUAUGCUAUACCAGUUAGGUUACAAGAUUUUUUUUUUUACUAUAAAAUCUGUUGGUAUGACCCAUAAAAAUUGAAGUAGUUAGUGUUGCCUAUUAUUCUUCUCUUUCUUGUCAUGUGUCUGUGCAUGACGAAUGCAAAGGUAUGGGAGCCUCUGAUGCUUAGUGGACCUCUGUUGUAGAUAGUUGCUUUCUGCAGCGGAUUUCACAUCUAAAUCUGCUCAAUUUCUGAUUUCUUUCACACAUCUAUGGAUCGAUCAGCGCUCAAGAAGUUGGAUUCUUAGGUUCCAGAAAAAGACAUUCCCAAGGAUGAGAAGCAAUAGAACAUUGUGUCAUUUUUUUAUUUAUUAAGGUCAAACAUAAAUGAAUGCAUCUACAAGUUUGUGUUUAGGAAUAUUCAUAAUUGAAUGUUUUUGUCAAGUACUGGCGGCAACCAGCUUGGCUCAUUCUGACAUAUCCAUCACUAUAUUUCUUGAGAACUAUGGAUAUUAUCACAUCAUCUGCUGAUGUUUAUAGACUAUUCUUCCUUUCAUCUCUUGAAUUAUUCUUUAAUGAAUCUUGCAACUGUCUUAGAUUUAUAUCUACACCAAAACCCAUGGGUUGGCAAUAUAUUUACAGGUUCCUAUAUGAUGUUUCAAAACCAAAUAAUGAUUUGAAAUCAAAUGUUUAAUAUAUGUGUUGUAGUAUCUGAAACCAGCUUGGAUUCACUGGACAAAAUCUCUGGUUGGUGCAUGAAAAUUUUGUUGAGAAAACUGAUGGUUCCUGGUGUUUUCAAGGUUUUGAUUGUCCUAAGUUCACAGUUUCUGCAUUUUGCAGGUGAUUUGCAAUCAACCAGCACCCACAACAAAGCCAAAUAAUCCACCCUGAAUGGUAAAAGUGUCUGAUUAUUCUUUUAAUUUUUUUAGUUACUUGAAGAACUGCCAUUAACUCACGAACUAGAUGGACAGAUUAUUUAUCAGAGGUGAGGGGAUGAUGGUGAGUACUUGUAACUAACAUACAUCCCUUAUGAAAGCCCUUUUCAGUAUGUAGUGCUUACAACCAUUACCCCCAAAUUGAAUACAAGUGGUUCUUUACAUCCCAACUCAGAACUUUGAUUGGAAGCAACUUGAUCGAUACUAAUGAUGAACGAAGGUGAUGAAGACCUGGAAGUCCAUUUAUAUAAUCCAACCCA